RNAcentral lists this ribosomal RNA (253 nucleotides) under uncultured bacterium. RNAcentral describes it as "partial 16S ribosomal RNA". It matches the Rfam family "Bacterial small subunit ribosomal RNA", at positions 524 to 776 of the family's 1533-position model. The record is from RNAcentral.
GACAGAGGGGGCAAGCGUUGCUCGGAAUUACUGGGCGUAAAGGGCGCGUAGGCGGGAUGGCAAGUCGGUCGUGAAAUCCUUCGGCUCAACCGAAGAACGUCGAUCGAUACUGCUGUUCUUGAGGGUUGCAGAGGAGACUGGAAUUCCCGGUGUAGCGGUGAAAUGCGCAGAUAUCAGGAAGAACACCUAUGGCGAAGGCAGCUCUCUGGGACGGUACUGACGCUGAGACGCGAAAGCGUGGGGAGCGAACAGG